AUGGGGGACUUCAACGAGAUUUUAUUUUUGCAUGAGAAGGAGGGAGGGGCGCCUAGACCGAUGCAGAUGAUGCAGAUGUUCCACGAGGCACUGGUGGAGUGUGAGUUAGAUGACAUGGGGUUCUCUGGAGAUCAGUUCACUUGGCGUAGAAGGAGACUAAGAGAACGGCUGGACAGAGGUGUAUGCAAUGGGGAGUUCCAUGGGUUAUUCCCAAACGCUCAGGUGACUAAUGCGGAGCAUAGUAAAUCAGAUCACAGACCGGUGGUG
This 267-nucleotide ribosomal RNA is filed under the name Triticum aestivum (bread wheat). RNAcentral describes it as "partial small subunit ribosomal RNA". Lineage: Eukaryota; Viridiplantae; Streptophyta; Magnoliopsida; Poales; Poaceae. The record is from RNAcentral.